Molecule: small RNA, 282 nt
Filed under: Macaca fascicularis (crab-eating macaque)
Lineage: Eukaryota; Metazoa; Chordata; Mammalia; Primates; Cercopithecidae
Description: Metazoan signal recognition particle RNA (ENSMFAG00000060800.1)
Source: RNAcentral
GCCAGGCGUGGUGGCGCAUACCUGUAAUCCCAGCUACUUGGGAGGCUGAGGCAGGAGAAUCGCUUUAACUGGGAGGUGGAGGUUGCAGUGAGCCAAGAUUGUGCCACUGUACUCCAGCCUGGGCGACAGCGAGAUUCUGUCUCAAAGAAAAAAAAUGUGAAUAAAGUUGUUUUUUUUUUCCCGAGAUAGAGUCCUGCUCUGUCACCCAGGCUGGAAUGCAGUAGCACAAUCUCAGCUUACUGUAACCUCUGUCACCCAGGUUCAAGUGGUCUCCUGCCUCAG